GGCGAUUCUCAUAUAAGGAGAUCAGCCAGCUGCGCAGGACAUAUUAUAGUGCACGAGCAUUUGCUUGGACACAGGUGCACUCACUAUUCCUUCACUCUCAUAGCGCGAUGGGACGACAAUCCGACACCACCGGAGAGAGAUCAGGCGCAGGACCGACAUUAACGUGCUCUCCGAUGUAUUGCUUCUUCAAUACUCAAUACUUAAUAUAAUAUAACUGUUUCCAGCUAGGUUUCGGUGUCUACGGCCCUGGUUGCCAGGCUCCCGCUAGGUUCUUGGACUAUGGGAAGUACCACGACUGGGUAACGACCAGUGUGAAGAGGAUCGGCAGACCAGCCAUCACCACGCUCGGGGACAAUCAUCUCAUCUUGAGGAGAUCUCUGGGACACAUGCAAAGGUAUGGUCCCUGCGAUAGAGAGGAGACCACCCGAGAACUAUACACCGACAGCACAGUUAUACCAUAUCGUCAAAGCGGCGUUGUGAGACAUAACGUUACCCUAAUUGGUACCCUAGAGUACUCCUGCGUAAUUAUCAGGGCUCAAUACUCCAAAAUGACUAGAGACACCCCAAAGAUCAGGCUGCGAAGGUACUGUCUUGGAGAGGCAAAAUUCUGUUACGGAUUCCAAUAUGCCGAAAUACAUUUCUUUGUGGAAAUAACCUUUCAGUUUGAAGUAAGUUUCGGAGUGCAAGCGUAUGGCAGGCAAGCCAUAGCUAUUGAUCCGAAGAGGGCAAUAAAAUACCUGAACGGCUUCAGAGAAUAUCCUAAUAUUCCUGAAUAUGAACGGGUGAAAAAUGAAUCAGAAACUACACUUAAGAGCAGGGAGUAUCCCUGGUUCGGUAAUCUUUGAGACCGAUAUGAUUAUUUUUGAUUAUGAAAGAUGUUCAAUCAGUUUAGCCUACCAUCAUCCUCCGAGCAUUUUUCCCAAACUACAUAUAUUGGGGUCGGCUUCCAGUCUAACCGGAUGUAGCUGAGUACCAGUGCUUUACAAGAAGCGACUGCCUAUCUGAUCUCCACAACCCAGUUACCCGGGCAACACGAUACCCCUUGGUUAGACUGGUGUCAGACUUACUGGCUUCUGUUUAGUUUAGCCUAUAGUGUGCGGUUAUUUAUGUAUCUGUUUAUCUGUGCGUCAGUUGUCAAUUCGCACGAUUUAACGGGCACGACCCGGGAAUCGAAUACGAGGCCUCUUGCACAGCAGUCGAGUUACCGACAACUAGACCAUAAGGCAGUCUAAAAAAUCCUUAUACAUAUGUGUAUAGCAAUUGAGUCAUUAUAUUAAGUAUAGUUAUCGGCACGAAUCUUGAGCUCUGACCUACAUCUGCGCAGAAGUGAUUUAUUAGCAAAGAACCAAUCCCGAGUGACGGCUAUGACGCGAUGCACUGCGGGCCAAUCACCGCUUUAGACCGCCCCUGCGCCUCACUUCACACCACAAAAGGGACCCAAUAAAUUACUUUUACGCAGGUGAAGGUCAGAGCUCAAGAUUCGUGCCGAUAACUAUAAGUGUUAGCUUUGU
Molecule: long non-coding RNA, 1511 nt
Organism: Helicoverpa armigera (cotton bollworm)
Lineage: Eukaryota; Metazoa; Arthropoda; Insecta; Lepidoptera; Noctuidae
Exons: 3
Source: RefSeq, a predicted model, not a curated record